Long non-coding RNA from Homo sapiens (human), 363 nucleotides. RefSeq lists it as uncharacterized. The transcript is spliced from 2 exons. The record is from RefSeq and is a predicted model, not a curated record. NCBI's taxonomy places the organism in Eukaryota, Metazoa, Chordata, Mammalia, Primates, Hominidae.
GCACAUGUUAAAUGGGUGAUUAAGAAGACAGAGAGCUGCUUAAAAGGUCAUGGGAGAAGUACAAUGUCUGGGGACUUGGCAGUAGCCUGGCAGAGACCGCAGGAAUCCUAUAGAGUCUUUUAUGGACAGGGCUCUGAAAUUCCAGAGCCUGCAGGAGUACUUAGCCAGCGUGCAGAGAAGCUUCCCAGUUAGGAGGUGAAGAAACACAAGGCUGCACUGGAUGCGGAGGCUCCCACCUGGAAUCCCAGCACUUUGGGAGGCCAAGGCUGGAGGAUUGCUUGAGCCCAGGAGUUCAAAACCAGCCUGGGCAACAUAGUGAGAACCUGUCUCUACAAAAAAUAAAAAUUACCUGGGUGUGAUGGU